GUCGAGCGAAGCGAUUUUAAGGAAGCCUUCGGGUGGAAUUAAAAUUGACUUACCGGUGGACGGGUGAGUAACGCGUGGGUAACCUGCCUCAUACAGGGCGAUAACAGCAUUAGAAAUGACUGCUAAUACCGCAUAAGCGCACAGUGCUGCAUAGCACAGUGUGAAAAACUCCGGUGGUAUGAGAUGGACCCGCGUCUGAUUAGGUAGUUGGUGAGGUAACGGCCCACCAAGCCGACGAUCAGUAGCCGACCUGAGAGGGUGACCGGCCACAUUGGGACUGAGACACGGCCCAAACUCCUACGGGAGGCAGCAGUGGGGAAUAUUGGACAAUGGGGGAAACCCUGACAUCCAGCGACGCCGCGUGACUGAAGAAGUAUUUCGGUAUGUAAAGGUCUAUCAGCAGGGAAGAAAAUGACGGUACCUGACUAAGAAGCCCCGGCUAACUACGUGCCAGCAGCCGCGGUAAUACGUAGGGGGCAAGCGUUAUCCGGAUUUACUGGGUGUAAAGGGAGACGUAGACGGCUCUGCAAGUCUGGAGUGAAAGCCCGGGGCUCAACCCCGGGACUGCUUUGGAAACUGUGGAGCUAGAGUGCAGGAGAGGUAAGUGGAAUUCCUAGUGUAGCGGUGAAAUGCGUAGAUAUUAGGAGGAACACCAGUGGCGAAGGCGGCUUACUGGACUGUAACUGACGUUGAAGCUCGAAAGCGUGGGGAGCAAACAAGAUUAGAUACCCUGGUAGUCCACGCCGUAAACCAUGAAUACUAAGUGUUGGGGGACAAAGCUCCUCCGUGCCGUCGCUUACGCCAUAAGUAUUCCACCUGGGGGAGUACGUUUCCCAGAAUGAAA
RNAcentral lists this ribosomal RNA (844 nucleotides) under uncultured bacterium. RNAcentral describes it as "bacterial SSU rRNA". It matches the Rfam family "Bacterial small subunit ribosomal RNA", at positions 61 to 899 of the family's 1533-position model. The record is from RNAcentral.